Molecule: ribosomal RNA, 253 nt
Filed under: uncultured bacterium
Lineage: Bacteria
Description: partial 16S ribosomal RNA
Rfam family: Bacterial small subunit ribosomal RNA
Source: RNAcentral
UACGUAGGUGGCAAGCGUUGUCCGGAUUUAUUGGGUUUAAAGGGUGCGUAGGCGGUCCUAUAAGUCAGUUGUGAAAUACGGCAGCUUAACUGUCGAGGUGCAAUUGAUACUGCAGGACUUGAGUACAGACGAGGUAGGCGGAAUUGACGGUGUAGCGGUGAUAUGCUUAGAUAUCGUCAAGAACACCGAUAGCGAAGGCAGCUUACUAGACUGUAACUGACGCUGAUGCACGAAAGUGUGGGGAUCAAACAGG